AUACGGAAGGUCCGGGCGUUAUCCGGAUUUAUUGGGUUUAAAGGGAGCGCAGGCGGAGAUGCAAGCGUGACGUCAAAUUUCGGGGCUCAACCCCGUCUCGCGUCGCGAACUGCGUCCCUUGGUUGCGGGAAGGGGAGGCGGAACUCGUGGUGUAGCGGUGAAAUGCAUAGAUAUCACGAAGAACUCCGAUCGCGAAGGCAGCCUUCCGGCCCGUCAACGACGCUCAUGCUCGAAGGUGCGGGUAUCAAACAGGAGUAGAUACCCUGGUAGUCCGCACAGUAAACGAUGGACACCCGCGGUUUGGCCUGUAUGGCUGAGCCGCCAAGCGAAAGCGUUAAGUGUCCCACCUGGGGAGUACGCCGGCAACGGUGAAACUCAAAGGAAUUGGCGGGU
RNAcentral lists this ribosomal RNA (393 nucleotides) under uncultured bacterium. RNAcentral's name for it is "partial 16S ribosomal RNA". It matches the Rfam family "Bacterial small subunit ribosomal RNA", at positions 523 to 918 of the family's 1533-position model. The record is from RNAcentral.